RNAcentral lists this unclassified non-coding RNA (3492 nucleotides) under Anthonomus grandis grandis. RNAcentral's name for it is "rNA-binding protein 5-like". The record is from RNAcentral. Lineage: Eukaryota; Metazoa; Arthropoda; Insecta; Coleoptera; Curculionidae.
GCUUUUAGACGUUUACGUUUAUUUCUUGGCAUCACUUCAUCUACAUUAAAAAUAACGUGUGCGUAAAAAUUUACCCUUAGUGGGACGCUGCCAACGAUCUGUCAAAGUCGUUAAACGCCAUAAUGAAAGUUGAAAUACGAUCAUCAUCCGGAAUGAGGGGACAAUGCCGGAAUCGUUCGUGAAUAGUCUGAACUUUCCACAAACGACAAAUACGAAAUAGCAAAAAUGUGAUUUUCUUUUUACACAAGUGAAAAGUAAGAGAACGAUAACUUAAUUGUUCUAUAACUCGGCUAUUAUUAUGUGUUUGCUUAGUAUGGCGUAUCCCCAUUAUAUUGUGAAAAACAGACUUGACCAUAAACUUCCCAAUAAUUGCCAAAACAGAAGCUGCAUGGCAUUGUCUUUCAAUUUAAAUUUCAAUAUAAAACUUUAAAACCCAAAUGAAAACCCUUGGGGGCUCUUUUCAAAUCAAAUAAUUUCUAAUGUAAUAUCCUAAAAUUAUUGUUGUAAAUAUUCAUAGUAUUGUAUAUUGUUAGUAAUUGAAUUAUAUAGUAACUAUUGAAUGGAGCGAUCUAGAAAUUCACCAGGCCUCAGCAUGAGCAUUUCUCCAGAACCCUACCGAAGAAGAUCUAAGUCAAAAUCACCUCAUUAUCACAAUAGGAAUGAAAAUAGAAGACACAAUGGACACACAAAUCAUGCCAAAAGAUAUCGCAGACGAGAACACAGAGAAGACCGGUCAAGACAUGGUUCCGAUUAUGACAGUGACUGGGAAAGAGAAACCUACGAUUUAGAAAAAAGAAGUCAUUCAAGAAGCCCGAUACAUGAGUAUCGAGAAAGAGACCGAGAUAGACGACACUACCACAGAGGUCGAGAACGAGAAAGAGAUCGAGAUUAUCAUAGAUACCGGAGAAGAUCAAGGAGUAAUGAUUCAAGGUGGGAGAGGGAAGAAAGAAAAUCUGAUAGAUAUCGAGAUGACGAUAGCGACAGUGAAAGAAGUCCUGGUGGAGGUAUUAUUGGCGCUAGCGGUUCAGAAAUCAUUGGAUACAAAAGUCAACCUCCAAACAAUACCAUUAUGAUUAGAGGAUUAGCUCAACAUAUCACAGAGAAUGAUAUAAGACAAGAUAUUAUUCAAGGAGGGCUAAUGCCAAAGGACAUUCGGUUAAUUCGGAAAAAAGACACAGGUGCCUCGCGCGGUUUUGCCUUUGUGGAGUUCUCGACACUACAUGAGGCAGUUCGAUGGAUGGAGACGAAACAGGGGAUAUUAAUGCUACAAGACAACUAUAGAGCUAUAAUGCAAUACAGCAUACCGAAAGACGCCCCUUCGGAAAAGCCCGCAACUAACAAGGCUGCUGCAGAUUGGUUUUGCAUCAAGUGUGGGGCUCAGAAUUUCAAGAGAAGAGAAAACUGUUUUAAAUGUCAUGCCUCAAGAAAUGAAUCUGAGGAAGGAGGCAGUGGAAGCGAUGAAACUUGUUCAUAUACUACCAAAACACUCAUGCUUAGAAAUCUUGACGCGUUAACAACUGAAGAUGCUGUCAUUGCAGUACUGAAUAGCACAAUACCAGACUUGGUAAAAUUAAUAUCGGCUGUAUGCAUUGGACGAGACCCUUUAACAUCUACGUCAAGGGGUAUUUGUUAUUUGGGUACCGAAAGUACUGUUGAUGCGCUAGCAAUAUUUGGCGCCUUAAGUGGAUUGGCUCAACCUAUGUCCAUCGAGGGAAAGACAGCAAUUAUAUCGUACUGUAAAUACAAUAUGGGUGACACCAGAAAGGCAUAUUCACAAGUAGAUCAUGCUGCAUUUCCCAAUGCCUCCAUCCCACAAACUUAUGCAUUAGCGGACGUGGAUAGCUUAGCUGAGUAUUCUGCCACAAGAUACGCCAAAACUCCAGAUGAAUAUACCCAUUAUUAUAAUUACUACAGACAGUUCUUUACCCAGCAAAUUAAUGAAGGCAAUUCAAUCACCCUUCAUAACGAAAAUCAAAUGGAUGCGGCAAAUGCCGCAGCUGCAGUCGCGCAAGCUGCAAUUCAGCAGAUGCAAGCUACUAAAACUUACUAUGAACCCAGCCAGAUGCAGAUGCCAACCGGAACUGACGGCAAAAGAUAUGCUGUGCCUGAUAUUUCGUCCUACAUCUAUGAUAAAUCAACUGGCUUUCAAUAUGAUCCGUCUACAGGUCUUUAUUAUGAUUCUAAAUCCACUUACUACUGGAAUAGCGUAAUUCAAAAAUAUCUCUUUUGGGACCAUGAAAAAUUCACUUACGCCCUUGCUCCAACUUACAAUAAUACAAGUUCAGUUAACGCUGCCUCUAACACUUUAAGCACAAAUGAGGAAGAAAAAAACAAAAAUUCUAAUAACGCUAAAGUUCCAGGAGAGAAACAUGAUAAAGUUAAAGUAGCGAAAAAAAUUGCGAAGGAUAUGGAACGAUGGGCUAAGACGUUAAAUCAGAAAAAGGAUUUUAUAGCAGUCAAAAAUGUAUCUGAUAACAAUUAUAUAUCUACUAGCGCAAGUGCUGAUAUUGGUUUCUCAGUGCUCGAGAAAAAAACAGUAGUUUCUCCUAAUCCUGCUUUAAAGACCGAUAUUGAUGUUCCUGAACCAGCUGUAGGACCAUUGGUGGCGUCUUAUGGAGAUAGUGAAUCAUCAGGUGAAGAUGAUGAGGAAUCACUGCUGGAUUUCACAAAAUUAAUCUGCAAUCUUUGCAAGCGUCAACUGGGCUCAGCUGAAGCCCUUCAAAAGCAUGCCAAGAUGUCCUCUUUACACAAGCAAAAUUUAGAAGCGAAAAGAUCGAAGAAAGCUGCUGAAUCUGCAUCACAACCUAAUAAAACUGUGUACAGAGAUAGGGCCAAAGAGAGAAGGAUGAAAUUUGGAGACCCCGAUGAAGCUCAGCCAAGUAAAUUAAAGGAAAAAUACUUAAAAACUUUAAAUAGCGAACCUCCCGUUCCGUCAGCUUCUGUGUUAGAACCUAUUGGGUCUGAAAAUGUUGGAAAUCGGUUAUUACAAAAAAUGGGAUGGACAGAAGGACAAGGCCUCGGCAAAACUAAUCAGGGAAGAACCACUAUCAUCCAGAGUUUUAUGGAGACAAGCAUGUAUGUGCAUUCACCGGGUCAUAUUUAACCAUUUGAAGCAAUGAUUCCAUCCAUUCAAGAUUCCAAGAACCAUUUUUUUGCCUCUAGCUUGUAUAGUUUUAAGGCAGAUUUAUGCCGAGUUGUCUACAUGUCAAGGUUUUAUACUCAAAAAGUCGUCAAAGCCAAACCCAAAUUUCGGAAUUCACCAGAGAUCAAACAAACGUUGAUAAUGUGAGUUAAAAUAAAAAGUCAUCUACCGUGGAGGAAUAAAUACUUAUGAUGAAAAAAUCAUAAACAGCAUUCACGUCACAAAGAUUAAGGCUGGGUAACGCUGCCUAUUCUGCACCAAUUUUAGAUAAUUGUAAAGUUUUCCAUUGUUUGUUUAAUACCCGUAGACUUGGAUUUAUAUUCUAAUAAAGUAUUUUUUUAUAUUUAUAA